Molecule: ribosomal RNA, 447 nt
Filed under: uncultured bacterium
Lineage: Bacteria
Description: partial 16S ribosomal RNA
Rfam family: Bacterial small subunit ribosomal RNA
Source: RNAcentral
AACGAACGCUGGCGGCAGGCCUAACACAUGCAAGUCGAACGCACCGCAAGGUGAGUGGCGCACGGGUGAGUAACACGUGGGAAUGUAUCCUUUGGUUCGGAAUAACGUCUGGAAACGGACGCUAAUACCGGAUGAGCCCUUAGGGGGAAAGAUUUAUCGCCGAAGGAGCAGCCCGCGUCUGAUUAGGUAGUUGGUGGGGUAAAGGCCUACCAAGCCGACGAUCAGUAGCUGGUCUGAGAGGAUGAUCAGCCACACUGGGACUGAGACACGGCCCAGACUCCUACGGGAGGCAGCAGUGGGGAAUAUUGGACAAUGGGCGCAAGCCUGAUCCAGCCAUGCCGCGUGAGUGAUGAAGGCCUUCGGGUUGUAAAGCUCUUUCGCACACGACGAUGAUGACGGUAGUGUGAGAAGAAGCCCCGGCUAACUUCGUGCCAGCCGCCGCAGUAA